RNAcentral lists this ribosomal RNA (502 nucleotides) under uncultured bacterium. RNAcentral describes it as "bacterial SSU rRNA". It matches the Rfam family "Bacterial small subunit ribosomal RNA", at positions 25 to 518 of the family's 1533-position model. The record is from RNAcentral.
CAGAACGAACGCUGGCGGCGCGUUUAAGCAUGCAAGUCGAGCGGCAAGGGCCUUCGGGCCCCUAGAGCGGCGGACGGGUGAGUAACACGUGGACAAUCUGCCCCCCGGACCGGGAUAGCCCAGGGAAACCUGGAUUAAUACCGGAUGAGACGGGACCUGCGAUGGCGGGAUCCGGGAAAGGCGCUACGGCGCCGCCGGGGGAUGAGUCUGCGUCCCAUUAGCUAGACGGCGGGGUAACGGCCCACCGUGGCGACGAUGGGUAGCCGGCCUGAGAGGGUGGACGGCCACAUUGGAACUGAGACACGGUCCAGACUCCUACGGGAGGCAGCAGCUAAGAAUCUUCCGCAAUGGGCGAAAGCCUGACGGAGCGACGCCGCGUGAACGAAGAAGGCCGUGAGGUUGUAAAGUUCUUUUCGGGAGGGGGAACAACCGUGGCAGGGAAUGGCCGCGGGAUGACGUGAAUCCCGGAAUAAGCCCCGGCUAACUACGUGCCAGCAGCUGC